RNAcentral lists this ribosomal RNA (115 nucleotides) under Candidatus Pacearchaeota archaeon. Lineage: Archaea; Nanobdellati. The record is from RNAcentral.
GAAGACGGUCAUAGUGGGUUGGAAACACCUGUUCUCAUUCCGAACACAGAAGUUAAGCUUCCCAUGUUGACGGCAAGUAGUGUCGUAGUGAUGCGAAACCAUCAAGCUGUCUUCU